RNAcentral lists this ribosomal RNA (253 nucleotides) under uncultured bacterium. Its description in RNAcentral is "partial 16S ribosomal RNA". It matches the Rfam family "Bacterial small subunit ribosomal RNA", at positions 524 to 776 of the family's 1533-position model. The record is from RNAcentral.
UACAGAGGUCCCAAGCGUUGUUCGGAUUCAUUGGGCGUAAAGGGUGCGUAGGCGGCGCGGGAAGUCGGGUGUGAAAUCUCGGAGCUUAACUCCGAAACUGCAUUCGAUACUGCCGUGCUUGAGGACUGGAGAGGAGACUGGAAUUUACGGUGUAGCGGUGAAAUGCGUAGAUAUCGAGAGGAACACCUGCGGCGAAGGCGGGUUGCUGGGCCGACACUGACGCUGAUGCGCGAAAGCCAGGGGAGCGAACGGG